This is a long non-coding RNA of Polypterus senegalus (gray bichir), 233 nucleotides long. RefSeq lists it as uncharacterized. Lineage: Eukaryota; Metazoa; Chordata; Cladistia; Polypteriformes; Polypteridae. The record is from RefSeq and is a predicted model, not a curated record. The transcript is spliced from 3 exons.
AUUUCUGUUUAGGACACAUUGUCAAACUUAUUGCAAGACAGAUUCUUCUUUCUCUGCCUUUGACAUUCUGUUAAUAUGAUGUCCAUCAUUAGUCUGACUGAAAUAAUAUCAGCUUUACUGCAGAUUUCCACUGCUCAGGAUGAUCUGAAAUUUUUACUUCUAGUCCUAAUGUGCAGAAGAUCAUUGUUGACAAGCCUCAUGCUGUGAGAGGAUUAGUGCUUCCAACUGCAGCA